CAGGUUUACCUGUGUGACUGCGUACCUUUUGUAUAAUGGGUCAGCGACUUAUAUUCUGUAGCAAGGUUAACCGCAUAGGGGAGCCGGAGGGAAACCGAGUCUUAAUUGGGCGUUAAGUUGCAGGGUAUAGACCCGAAACCCGGUGAUCUAGCCAUGGGCAGGUUGAAGGUUGGGUAACACUAACUGGAGGACCGAACCGACUAAUGUUGAAAAAUUAGCGGAUGACCUGUGGCUGGGGGUGAAAGGCCAAUCAAACCGGGAGAUAGCUGGUUCUCCCCGAAAGCUAUUUAGGUAGCGCCUCGUGAAUUCAUCUCCGGGGGUAGAGCACUGUUUCGGCUAGGGGGCCAUCCCGGCUUACCAACCCGAUGCAAACUGCGAAUACCGGAGAAUGUUAUCACGGGAGACACACGGCGGGUGCUAACGUCCGUCGUGAAGAGGGAAACAACCCAGACCGCCAGCUAAGGUCCCAAAGUCAUGGUUAAGUGGGAAACGAUGUGGGAAGGCCCAGACAGCCAGGAUGUUGGCUUAGAAGCAGCCAUCAUUUAAAGAAAGCGUAAUAGCUCACUGGUCGAGUCGGCCUGCGCGGAAGAUGUAACGGGGCUAAACCAUGCACCGAAGCUGCGGCAGCGAACGUAUCACUUAAAGCGAUUCAGCGGGUUACGAUUGACGGAGCGAAGCGACGUCAAAGCGUAUACAAAGUCGAGUCGGUUUA
Molecule: ribosomal RNA, 712 nt
Filed under: Salmonella enterica subsp. enterica
Lineage: Bacteria; Pseudomonadati; Pseudomonadota; Gammaproteobacteria; Enterobacterales; Enterobacteriaceae
Description: partial 23S ribosomal RNA
Rfam family: Bacterial large subunit ribosomal RNA
Source: RNAcentral